Molecule: non-coding RNA, 3321 nt
Organism: Monodelphis domestica (gray short-tailed opossum)
Lineage: Eukaryota; Metazoa; Chordata; Mammalia; Didelphimorphia; Didelphidae
Source: RefSeq, a predicted model, not a curated record
CAUCACCAACAUCUACCACAAUUUGUCCAGCCAUUCCCCAAUUGAUGGGCAUCCCCUCAUUUUCCAGUUUUGGGCCACCACAAAGAGCGCAGCUAUGAAUAUUCUUGUACAAGUCUUUUUCCUUAUUGUCUCUUUGGGGUACAAACCCAGCAGUAGCACAGGAACUUUUGAAAAAAGUGUCCAACCUGGAGCCCAAAGUUCUGGGUUACACAUUUGUGUACCUCAGCUUUGGAGAACAUGACUAUUGAAUCCAAUUUUUAUUUCUGAUUGAUUGACUGAUUUUUUUAACCCCUUACCUUCCAUCUUAGAAUCAAUACUGUGUAUUGGUUCUAAGGCAGAAGAGUGAUAAGGGCUAAGCUAUGGGGGUCAAGUGACUUGCCCAGGCUCACACAGCUAGGCCAGAUUUGAACCCAGGACCUCCUGUCUCUGGGCUGGCUGUCAAUCCACUGAGCCACCUAACUGUUCUCUGAUUGAUUGAUUGAUUAACAGAGCUGAUGACCCAUAAAGACCAAAGUCCAGAAAGGAAAGACAAGAGACUUAAUUCUUGAGUCUCCUAUAAAAUGAAGGCGGCGUGUUAGCGAAACUUCAAAGCCUCUGUCAAUUCUGAAGUUCCAUGACAAUAAAGGAUUAUGUUUAUAAUGUGUCAUGCAUUUUAUAAUUUUAUCAAAAAGGGGGAAACGAGUGUUUCUGUUUAAGAGGAGUAUCAACUGUCCAGAAAAUGCAGAACAAUUCACUCCCUGCUGUUGCCAGAUAAAUUUUUUUUUUAAUAAAGACAAGACUUUUUAAAACACCCUACUCAUUUUUUAAAACUUUGAAAAAAUAGACAAGUAUGUUUACAUAAAUUUUAGACCUCUGAUGAGUUUUACAUAGUCCAGACUGGGAAGAACUGUAAAGCCCCUGUUGACCACCUGGCAAAUCACAUGAAAGAUUAUUCAGUGCUUGGUACCUGAGCUCCUACUUUGUGCUGAGUUUUGGAGAAUUUGCAGGAAAAGUAAAAUAUUAAUUUUGUUCUAGGGAGCUUACACUCUCAUAGAAGGCUGGUAGUUACGGUUGAGGUCCCCAUUUAUACUUUAGGUUGCAUACAUCUGGAGGAAGGCCAAGAAUCUCUCAGAGAGGGGAUGCUCAAGACCAGGUCCUGCCUCUGGUUAGUAACUAGGUCUAUGACCAAGUUGGUCAUUUAGCCUAUGGUCCUCAAGCUUAAGAAUUGAACCGGAUGGCCUCUAAAGCUCUCCUAGUUUUAACGUCCUAAAUGUCAACGAGACUCUUAAUAUUAAAUAGCUCUUCCAUAAGGUUGAUGCUGCUUUUUCACGAAGUUAAAAUAUAUCCGCAAAUUAAUGUUUCAGGCUUCCUUUUUGUGGAUGUCCUUAUUUUUGUGAUCAAAGUUUAUUUUCUUAAAUUUAUACCUUUUUCCCAGCCCCACAAUCAAUCCUCUCUAUUACGAAUGUGCUGAGCUGCUGUAAUUUUCUCUGAAUUUCCUGGGAAUUAGCAUUUCUUAGAACACUGAAAAUAUCACCAAUACUUUCUGUGAAUAUGACUUGGAAGGACAGGUAGCAGUUUACUUAACACCCUCCUUAGAACCUAAAGCACCCUUCAGCCUCCUCAGAGAUGAUGACAGGAUAUCUUGAGAGAUGAUUCCUGCUCGGCUGAUCUCCACGUUAUUCCUGGAGAUAUAGUAAAAUCCCACCCUUUAAUCAAUUUGGUGGUAACUGGGAUGAGGAACGUCAUUGAUGACGCGUCAUCAAAAGUCAAGAGUAACGAAGCAAUAUUAUUAUUUCAAAAUUGUUUUCAUAGCAUUAGAGAAGUGAUUCUUUGUUCUGUAAUUCAGUUUAUUGUCCUAGUUUAAAAAUACAAAGUCUAUUAUCAGAAAUAUGGAGGUUUUAAUUUCAAGAAACAAAUACAAAAGUAUUUCCAACCGAACCUUGAAAGGGGUAUGUCUGAAAUGCCCGAUCUUCUAUGGAUCCCAUUGCUUCUCAGGAAAUAGAUACUUUUAUGAUUUCAUUAUCUUGUGUUUCGUUUGAUGCUACUAAAUUGUGAUUUCUAUGUCUUGGGAAGAUGAAAUUCAUAUCAAAAUUCUUUUAAAGAACUUUCUAUGUCUUGUGUGAAUAUAAAAACCAAAAAUGGUGCUUCUCCAUCACUUAAAAAUUUUUAAAAGAUAUCAAGAAUGUUUUUUGUUCUCUUAUAGGACAUGCAGUCAAGCUUGGGGAGAUUUUCAUUCUUUUGCUCCAAGAAGCAAACUAGAUUCAAUCUCCCCGUGUGGAAGAAAAGCAUUUAGUGUCCAGGAGUUGGCUUCAGCUCACUUUGGAUACCUUUGGAUGCCUGGUUUCUCAUCGUACCAUUUUCUGCUGCAAAUGGGGAAUUUCAAGACAGCAAGGUUUUAGACCUGAAAGGAGAAAGGAGAGGUCUCCAGCUCCAUACAAAAGUGACCAUCCAGUUGACCUCUUCAUUUUACACAUCAGGCACCUGAGGCCCAGGGCAGUGAUAAGCUGGAAGGAAAGGAGGGAAGAAAAGAAUCUUCUGGAAGGAUGAGAUCAACAAAGUCCAGUCUAGAUUUAAAGAAAUAUCAAUAUCAGGUGUGCUAUGAGCAGGGAACUCUUUUAUCCAGGAAUUUAAAGACCCCCAAACCUAAAAACUCUCAAGGAAAUGAUCUUUCUCUAAUGGUGGAAAUUCAGCCACAAGACAGGUAGCAAGAGAAAUGUCCAAGCAGAACGGCCCUGUCUCCGGCCCUCUAAUUUUUCCAUGUGGGCAGUGGCCUAUCCUGCCAACUCAUAAGGCCAGCCUUGUUCCUUUAAGUUUCCAGGCCCAGCACUCAAACCACAAACUUGAAUUCCUGUAAAAGUUCAUCUCUUCACAAUUCUUCUGCAACUUUUCAGCAUACUGAAAUAACUUCUGAUAACCAAGAUGGUGGUUGGCUCCGAGCUGCCGAGACAAGAAUAGAAUGUCCAGCCUGGCAUACCACGCAUAAUAUUGCCUGACCAACUUCAUUUUGAAAUAACAUCACUAUAAUACAUUAUAACCAACCCCAAAGAAACAUCAUGAAACCGCACUGGACUGUCAUUCAGCCAAUCACCCAAGAUGCAUAAUGAAUGCUCUAAAUCUGGAACUAAAUGUUCCUUGAAACAUGGUUUCACCUAGGAUAUUUUUGUAGAGCCAAUUAAGAAUGUCCUAAAAAUCAGGAGUGCUUGAUCAUCCUGUGAAUGAUUUGCACACAUUAGAAGAUGGCGUCCUUUUUUCUAAAGCACUGGCAUUUCAAUAUUACUUUAAAUGUACUUAAAUUUUUGGUAUAGUCUCUUAAAAAUAAUUAAAUUUGAGAUCUUUUUAAUG